This 244-nucleotide long non-coding RNA is filed under the name Helianthus annuus (common sunflower). RNAcentral describes it as "hypothetical non coding rna". Lineage: Eukaryota; Viridiplantae; Streptophyta; Magnoliopsida; Asterales; Asteraceae. The record is from RNAcentral.
AUGUUAAAAAUUGCUAAAAACGCAGAUUUACACAUGCAAGGAAUCCGGGACGUCAAGUGGACACGCCGGAGGUGAUACCCGCGGAAAAGGUGUGCUUUGAAGGUACAAAUAAAUCUCUCUCGGAUGAUGAUCAAGCACCUUGUCAAGAACCGAACACGCAAAUUGAAGCUUCCGCAUGAAUAUAAUUUUGUCUAAACUUUAAACAUGUCAUAAAUACUUUUGGUUGAUGGUGCUUUGAAUCCUU